This is a non-coding RNA of Steccherinum ochraceum, 90 nucleotides long. The record is from the annotation of a GenBank genome assembly. NCBI's taxonomy places the organism in Eukaryota, Fungi, Basidiomycota, Agaricomycetes, Polyporales, Steccherinaceae.
GCAUUAAUGGGGUAGUGGUAACCUGGGUCGUUGCCAUGACAUUCGCUUUCGGAUUUCGACCCGCCGGGGGUUCGAUUCCCUCUUAAUGCA